GAUGAACGCUGGCGGCGUGCUUAACACAUGCAAGUCGAACGAUGAAGCCCAGCUUUUUGUGUGGAUUCGUGGCGAACGGGUGAGUAACUCGCGCGUAACCUGCCCUUCACUCUGGGAUAAGUCUGGUAAACUGGCUCUAAUACUUGCUAUGUCUUCUCAUCGCAUGGUGGGUGGUGGAGAGAUUUAUUGUUCUUGGAUGGACUCUCGGCCUAUCAGCUUGUUGGUGAGGUGUUGGCUCACCAAGGCCUCGACGGGUAGCCGGCAUGAGAGGGUGAACGGCCACACUGGGAAUGAGAGACAGCCAAAAGUCGUACGGGGGGCAGGAGGGGGGAAUAUAGGAGAAAGGGCGCAAGCGUGAUGCAGCGACGCCGAGUGAGGGAUGACGGCCUUCGGGAUGUAAAAAUCUGUCAGUAGGGAAGAAGCGAGAGUGGCGGUACCUGCAGAAGAAGCGCCGGCUAAAUACG
This 464-nucleotide ribosomal RNA is filed under the name uncultured bacterium. Its description in RNAcentral is "partial 16S ribosomal RNA". It matches the Rfam family "Bacterial small subunit ribosomal RNA", at positions 28 to 505 of the family's 1533-position model. The record is from RNAcentral.